UUUCUGAAUUUUUUUUAUUAAUUUUUAAAUUGUUAACAUUAAAGUUCAAUUCUUUUUCAGAAACAGGGGACGACGGACUGCUAUAAAAUAAAGCCAAAGUAAAGUCCUUUUUUCCUCACAUCUAAAUAAGAAAUUGAGUUUCCUCUGGAAACCAAUUCUUAAGCUCUGUUUUUUUCUUCCCAAAUUUUCACUGACCAUGCCGCUUCCGUGGAAGAAGAUGCGGGUGAACCGAAUUUCCCAAUUCGUCGCCGAUCUCCAAUCACCGAAACGGGGCGGUUCACUCGUGGUCCAGACUGGUUUUCCGACCUCCCUCGUCGACCUCUUCGUCAAGAACCGCGAUCACUUGAAAAAGCCGUCGAAAAAGAACAAGAACAGGAAGAAGAAUAACCGGUCGGCUGACCAGGUCAACGAUCGGAUCACGGCGAAUUGUGAACUGGGUUCGGGCAAUUUCGGGAUUUUGGUGCAACCCAGUUCACCAAAGGUCAAGAAUUUGAGCCGGGAAGAAGGUGAUCGCGGUGUUGAAGCUGGUGAGUUUCGGGUUUUGGGUGAGACUCAAGUUGAGAGUCGGAUUGUUGUUGAUGAUGAGCAAUGCGUCGGUGGGAAUUGGAGAGCGGUUUUGCUGGCGGUGUUGAAGAUGUUCGCGGUGGUGGUUUUGGCUUUGAGUACCAAGAAGCUCGCUGUUGGGGUCACAUUGUCUGCUUUUCUGCUUCUGUUUCUUGAAUACGCGGGUAAGCACUUGGCCUGUUUCUUCAAACCAUGCUCGAAAGCGAAAUCUGUUUUGCAAAACAUGGCUCAGAGGGCGUCUUCAUUUUUAUUGUUUCUGAAUGGUUUUCAUGAGAGUGAGGAUUUGAAGGGGAUGAUUGUAUGUGAAAAUACUGGGGAUGUUGUGUUUGAAUUGGUUGAUGCUACGAGUGAUUCAGACUCUGCUAUUGGAGAGAUUCAGAUUGUUGAGUCUAACAAGAAGGGAAGUGUGUGUGUUGAUGAAACUGGUGGAGACAGACCUUUGAUUGCUUUACUUGGUGCAGAUUAUGAGAAGGAGAGGGUCGUGGAUAAGAGAGAUGUUGGUGAUAAAACUUUGGUUGAGUUGCUUGGUAUGGAUUAUCAGAAGAGGACGGUGGUGGAUAAGAGAAGAGUGGGUGCAGAAAAGGCAGUCGGUGAAAGAACUUUGGUUGAGUUGCUUGGUAAGGAUUAUAAGAAGAUAAAGGUAGUGGAGGGUGGUGAAGAUGGAGGUGAAUUUAUAGCAGAUAAGAAGAGUAAGGGUGGCAAAAAUUCUAACAUUAAAUCAAAACUUAUCAAGAAAUUUGUGCCUAAGAAGUUGCGCAGAAAGGGUAAGCAAAAUGAACCGGAGCUGGAGCCUCUCCUAAGCAGUGAAGUUUCUUGUCACAUGGGAGAUGAUAAGGUAGAGGGAUGUGAAGAACAUGAAGACCAUAAAGAUGUGAAACAAGAGGAACAGGAAAGCGAAAACAUGUCAGUGUUUUCUGCAGAAGAGAAAAGUGAAAUCCAAGGAUUUGAUGGAGUUUCUGAUCUUGGCGAAGGAUCAUUGGCUGGGGGAGAAACACCCUUGAUUGUUGAAAGGAAGGGAAGAGAAGGGAAUUUAGGGUAUCUGGUUCUCUUUCUAAUUGUUCUUGCUGGACUUUUCGGAGGUCGGAUUGUAGCCCUGAUGCUUACAAUCACUAGCUGCUUUAUGCCGAAGUUGGCUGGAAGCCUGAGGAGAUCGGUAAAAAUAUGCCGGUGUUCUGCCCCAGUCUCAAGUUAGAAUAUAUGUGGUUGUUAUAGUGAUGUUCCUUCAGAUAUAGGGUUCUUGAAUUCAAGUCUCGAAUUGUAGUCUGAAUGUGAAAGCUCAGUGCGAUAGAAAUUCCAACCUUUUCGUUGGAUACCCAGCUUGAGACUGGGGUGCAGAAAAUACUGGCCAGAAGACACUCGUUUGCCCCAAAAGUUGCUCCGAAAGUAUUGAGCGACUUUGUUACAUAGAUGUUUAUUGAGCUGCCUUUCCACAGAAGUUGAUAACAGGGCAUGAGCUCAAUGAGUUUGAGUACCUGACCUCUUUAUUUUGUUUUGCCACCUACUUCUCAAUCAGAUUAAUCUGUGAGUCUUUUCUAAGGAAGAUAAGCAUGCUCUUAUGAACUCCAUUUCCUGAUAUGCGAACCCUGCUCUGCACAGAAGAUCAACUAGACAGCAUGGGGUAACUUCCCACCAUCUCAUUAAACAAUUUGCAGCCUCUAUUGACUUCAUUUUGCAUUCUCCAAACUCCCAUGCUUCAGGUACUUGUAGAGCACUACACACACACGAACACAUUCAUCUAGAAGUUGUUGAUAUCACUAACUGAGCUAUGAAGCUAACGCUAAUGCUAUCAGUGGUGUUGUGCAUCCCAGUCAUUGCACACACAAACACAGACAAUGUUGUAGAUGAUAUUUUGAGGAGAUGGUCCAUCGUCCAGGUUUAACUUCCUAGCAGAGGAUGCAAGCAUGCGGGGUAGAGUAACAGGGUUAAAACAUCUGCUCUCAUCAUAUCUGUUACAUGCAUUCUUAAUAUCCAAGAAAAUCUCGAAACCUUGUUUAAAGACCUUGUCUUAGUGAAUGCAUGAACCAUUAAAUUCCAUGAAACAAUGCCUUUCAAAUCAUAAGCAAGUUAUGAAAACCAGUUAUAGCCACUAAAUUCUGUUGAGUUUAAAAACAUUCAAGUGUGUGUAUACACACACAAACACAUAUAUCUAUCUCUUAUGUCCUGUUUUUUGGUCCUAAAAUCUCACUUCUUAGGUUGUUAGAAAUGCAGGCAGGUCUAGGGCACAAAGGUUCUUGCCUUCAUCAGGAAGUAAAGGGAAACACAAUAAUGAAAACAUUUGUAGAGUUCUAUUCAUGGAUUCCAUAACGCAAAUGUGCCUAUUUCAUGAUUUGGUAUGUGGGUUGUAAGUGAAAUAUAUAAAAGAACAGUUUAUUUAUUAUUUGUUAUUCAAGGG
Non-coding RNA from Prunus mume (Japanese apricot), 2956 nucleotides. The record is from RefSeq and is a predicted model, not a curated record. NCBI's taxonomy places the organism in Eukaryota, Viridiplantae, Streptophyta, Magnoliopsida, Rosales, Rosaceae.